CGCCCAGACUCCUACGGAGGCAGCAGUGGGGAAUAUUGCCCAAUGGGGGAAACCCUGAUGCAGCGACGCAGNGUGCGGGAUGACGGCCUUCGGGUGUAAACCGCUUCAGCAGGGAAGAAGCCCCUUGGGGUGACGGUACCUGCAGAAGAAGUACCGGCUAACUACGUGCCAGCAGCCGCGGUAAUACGUAGGGUACAAGCGUUGUCCGGAAUUAUUGGGCGUAAAGAGCUCGUAGGUGGUUGGUCACGUCUGCUGUGGAAACGCAACGCUNAACGUUGCGCGUGCAGUGGGUACGGGCUGACUAGAGUGCAGUAGGGGAGUCUGGAAUUCCUGGUGUAGCGGUGAAAUGCGCAGAUAUCAGGAGGAACACCGGUGGCGAAGGCGGGACUCUGGGCUGUAACUGACACUGAGGAGCGAAAGCAUGGGGAGCGAACAGGAUUAGAUACCCUGGUAGUCCAUGCCGUAAACGUUGGGCACUAGGUGUGGGGGACAUUCCACGUUCUCCGCGCCGUAGCUAACGCAUUAAGUGCCCCGCCUGGGGAGUACGGUCGCAAGGCUAAAACUCAAAGGAAUUGACGGGGGCCCGCACAAGCGGCGGAGCAUGCGGAUUAAUUCGAUGCAACGCGAAGAACCUUACCAAGGCUUGACAUACACCAGACCGUUCUGGAAACAGUUCCUCCCCUUUGGGGUUGGUGUACAGGUGGUGCAUGGUUGUCGUCAGCUCGUGUCGUGAGAUGUUGGGUUAAGUCCCGCAACGAGCGCAACCCUCGUUCUAUGUUGCCAGCACGUAAUGGUGGGAACUCAUAGGAGACUGCCGGGGUCAACUCGGAGGAAGGUGGGGAUGACGUCAAAUCAUCAUGCCCUUUAUGUCUUGGGCUUCACGCAUGCUACAAUGGCUGGUACAGAGAGAUGCGAGACCGCGAGGUUUUAGCGAAUCCCUUAAAGCCAGUCUCAGUUCGGAUCGUAGUCUGCAAUUCGACUACGUGAAGUCGGAGUCGCUAGUAAUCGCAGAUCAGCA
This 1018-nucleotide ribosomal RNA is filed under the name uncultured bacterium. RNAcentral describes it as "bacterial SSU rRNA". It matches the Rfam family "Bacterial small subunit ribosomal RNA", at positions 328 to 1354 of the family's 1533-position model. The record is from RNAcentral.